UACCGGUAUACUAAAAUUACUAAAAGCAAUGAGACAGAAAGGUCACCAUGUACCGGAAAAGAAGAGUCAGCUCCACUCACACGGAUGUUUGCAUCUUACAUUACCUUUGUAGAAGACUAAAUGUUUUGAAUUGUGC
Molecule: long non-coding RNA, 136 nt
Organism: Alosa alosa (allis shad)
Lineage: Eukaryota; Metazoa; Chordata; Actinopteri; Clupeiformes; Clupeidae
Exons: 3
Source: RefSeq, a predicted model, not a curated record